This 643-nucleotide ribosomal RNA is filed under the name uncultured Mycobacterium sp. RNAcentral describes it as "bacterial SSU rRNA". It matches the Rfam family "Bacterial small subunit ribosomal RNA", at positions 232 to 885 of the family's 1533-position model. The record is from RNAcentral. Lineage: Bacteria; Bacillati; Actinomycetota; Actinomycetes; Mycobacteriales; Mycobacteriaceae.
CGCGGCCUAUCAGCUUGUUGGUGGGGUAAUGGCCUACCAAGGCGACGACGGGUAGCCGGCCUGAGAGGGCGACCGGCCACACUGGGACUGAGACACGGCCCAGACUCCUACGGGAGGCAGCAGUGGGGAAUAUUGCACAAUGGGCGAAAGCCUGAUGCAGCGACGCCGCGUGAGGGAUGACGGCCUUCGGGUUGUAAACCUCUUUCAGCAGGGACGAAGCGCAAGUGACUGUACCUGCAGAAGAAGCACCGGCUAACUACGUGCCAGCAGCCGCGGUAAUACGUAGGGUGCGAGCGUUGUCCGGAAUUACUGGGCGUAAAGAGUUCGUAGGCGGUUUGUCGCGUCGUGUGUGAAAUCCCGCAGCUCAACUGCGGGCUUGCAGGCGAUACGGGCAGACUUGAGUACUGCAGGGGAGACUGGAAUUCCUGGUGUAGCGGUGAAAUGCGCAGAUAUCAGGAGGAACACCGGUGGCGAAGGCGGGUCUCUGGGCAGUAACUGACGCUGAGGAACGAAAGCGUGGGUAGCGAACAGGAUUAGAUACCCUGGUAGUCCACGCCGUAAACGGUGGGCGCUAGGUGUGGGUUUCCUUCCACGGGAUCCGUGCCGUAGCUAACGCAUUAAGCGCCCCGCCUGGGGAGUACGG